UCUAGUAUAGCAAUUAUACCGCGAAACUGCGAAUGGCUCAUUAAAUCAGUUAUCGUUUAUUUGAUGGUACCUUACUACUUGGAUAACCGUGGUAAUUCUAGAGCUAAUACAUGCUGAAAACCCCGACUUCGGGAGGGGUGUAUUUAUUAGAUAAAAAACCAACGCCCUUCGGGGCUCCUUGGUGAUUCAUGAUAACUUCUCAGAUCGCAUGGCCUUGCGCCGGCGACGGUUCAUUCAAAUUUCUGCCCUAUCAACUUUCGAUGGUAAGGUAUUGGCUUACCAUGGUUUCAACGGGUAACGGGGAAUUAGGGUUCGAUUCCGGAGAGUGAGCCUGAAAGACAGCUCACACAUCCAAGGAAGGCAGCAGGCGCGCAAAUUACCCAAUCCCGACACGGGGAGGUAGUGACAAUAAAUACUGAUACAGGGCUCUUUUGGGUCUUGUAAUUGGAAUGAGUACAAUUUAAACCUCUUAACGAGGAACAAUUGGAGGGCAAGUCUGGUGAACAAACAGCUUCCAUGCUGCUGACGCCAGAGAUAGUCGGGCACUGCGCGUAUGCAAGGUGCUACGCCGGCUAGUCGACGUACCUACUGAAUUGAUGGGCAGGUACCGGCAAGACAACCUGGAUCGGGGAAGGCUAAGGCGCUCGCACGAGUGCUAUGCUGAUCCCGAGCAGAGCUUUCGCGGAGCGAUCCACGAUCAUAGCCUGUGUAGAGCACGGAAAGGUGUCGGCCUACUCACGUAGUAGGCUUAAGGGACGUGCCAUUCCCAUCCGAAAGGGUGGCUGCCAGCCAGAGCGCCCAUCACGCGAAGGCUGGCAGGCUCGAACAGCUCGUUUGGGCGAGAGAGAUAAGGCCAGCAGCCGCGGUAAUUCCAGCUCCAAUAGCGUAUAUUAAAGUUGUUGCAGUUAAAAAGCUCGUAGUUGAACCUUUGGCCUGGCUGGCAGGUCCGCCUCACCGCGUGCACUUGUCCGGCCGGGCCUUCUCUUCUGGAGAACCGCAUGCCCUUCACUGGGUGUGCUGGGGACCAGGACUUUUACUUUGAAAAAAUUAGAGUGUUCAAAGCAGGCCUUUGCUCGAAUACGUUAGCAUGGAAUAAUAGGAAUAGGACGUGCGGUCCUAUUUUGUUGGUUUCUAGGACCGCCGUAAUGAUUAAUAGGGACAGUCGGGGGCAUCAGUAUUCAAUUGUCAAAGGUGAAAUUCUUGGGAUUAA
This 1210-nucleotide ribosomal RNA is filed under the name Longipedicellata aptrootii. Its description in RNAcentral is "partial small subunit ribosomal RNA". It matches the Rfam family "Eukaryotic small subunit ribosomal RNA", at positions 59 to 928 of the family's 1831-position model. The record is from RNAcentral. Lineage: Eukaryota; Fungi; Ascomycota; Dothideomycetes; Pleosporales; Bambusicolaceae.